This 174-nucleotide ribosomal RNA is filed under the name uncultured bacterium. RNAcentral's name for it is "partial 16S ribosomal RNA". It matches the Rfam family "Bacterial small subunit ribosomal RNA", at positions 1327 to 1500 of the family's 1533-position model. The record is from RNAcentral.
UGGAAUCGCUAGUAAUCGCGGAUCAGAAUGCCGCGGUGAAUACGUUCCCGGGUCUUGUACACACCGCCCGUCACACCAUGGGAGUCGGGAAUGCCCGAAGCCAGUGACCCAAGCGAGAGCAGGGAGCUGUCGAAGGCAGGCCGGAUAACUGGGGUGAAGUCGUAACAAGGUAUC